Molecule: ribosomal RNA, 850 nt
Filed under: uncultured bacterium
Lineage: Bacteria
Description: bacterial SSU rRNA
Rfam family: Bacterial small subunit ribosomal RNA
Source: RNAcentral
GGGGAGUCGGCGCCUAUACAUGCAGUCGAGCGUGAGCGGGACUUCGGUCCCGUGGAAAGCGGCGAACGGGUGCGUAACACGUGAGCAACCUGCCCCGAAGACUGGGAUAACCCGAGGAAACUCGGGCUAAUACCGGAUGUCCUCUUCCCACCGCAUGACGGGAUGAGGAAAUGUUCAGGCGCUUCGGGAUGGGCUCGCGGUCUAUCAGCUUGUUGGUGGGGUAACGGCCUACCAAGGCGACGACGGAUAGCUGGUCUGAGAGGACGAUCAGCCACACUGGGACUGAGACACGGCCCAGACUCCUACGGGAGGCAGCAGUGGGGAAUCUUGCGCAAUGCGCGAAAGCGUGACGCAGCAACGCCGCGUGAGGGAAGACGGCCUUCGGGUUGUAAACCUCUUUCAGGAGGGACGAAGGUUCAGGCGCGAAUAGCGUCCUGGACUGACGGUACCUCCAGAAGAAGCCCCGGCUAACUACGUGCCAGCAGCCGCGGUAAUACGUAGGGGGCUAGCGUUGUCCGGAAUCAUUGGGCGUAAAGCGCGCGUAGGCGGCCCGGUAAGUCCGCUGUGAAAGUCAAAGGCUCAACCUUUGAAUGUCAGCGGAUACUGCCGGGCUAGAGUCCGGAAGAGGCGAGUGGAACUCCUGGUGUAGCGGUGGAAUGCGCAGAUAUCAGGAAGAACACCAACGGCGAAGGCAGCUCGCUGGGACGGAACUGACGCUAAGGCGCGAAAGCGUGGGGAGCGAACAGGAUUAGAUACCCUGGUAGUCCACGCCGUAAACGAUGGGCACUAGGUGUGGGAGGUGUCGACUCCUCCCGUGCCGGCGCUAACGCAUUAAGUGCCCCGCCUGGGA